GCCCAGGUGGCGAAACUGGUAGACGCGCUAGUUUCAGAGACUAGUUCUCUUUAAACGGGAGUGUGGGUUCGAAUCCCACCCUGGGCACAA
Molecule: transfer RNA, 90 nt
Filed under: Candidatus Colwellbacteria bacterium CG10_big_fil_rev_8_21_14_0_10_41_28
Lineage: Bacteria; Candidatus Colwelliibacteriota
Description: tRNA-Leu
Rfam family: tRNA
About the family: Transfer RNA (tRNA) molecules are approximately 80 nucleotides in length.
Source: RNAcentral